GAUAGCCAUAGAUGACUAGUGGAUUGAUGGUGGGGUCGGUAACAACGCGGACAUCAUGAAUUGUUGCGUCGUAUAGUCCUCCCCAAAAAAUGGCUUUCCCCACUAGCAACAAAGCCCCUAACCCUAAAAAGAGUAGGUGAUGUCCUAAAAUCAAGCCAAGUUUUUUGUGGUCGUUCCA
Molecule: antisense RNA, 178 nt
Filed under: Calothrix sp. PCC 7507
Lineage: Bacteria; Bacillati; Cyanobacteriota; Cyanophyceae; Nostocales; Calotrichaceae
Description: Antisense RNA which regulates isiA expression
Rfam family: Antisense RNA which regulates isiA expression
Source: Rfam by way of RNAcentral